GUGCUUAUAAGCGCUCAUUAAAGAUUAUUUAAUUACUAAAUUAAGAAAGUUUUUAAAUUUAAUAUGUAGAAGCCCAAAUUUGCUGGGCCCAUUGUCCAAAUAAAAUAAAAUACAACAAACCCAAAAUUCAAUCCCAACUACCCAAACCUUAAGCCCAAAAUAAUCAGCCCACAAACUUAAAAUUUCAGCAGCAAACCCUAGCUGGCCGCCGCAUGCCUUACGUGGCCUCCUCAGCCUUGGCCACCACGCCCCACGCGUCUGACACUCCCACCUGCUCCACCGUGCCCACCACCUGCAACAAGAACAAACACAACAGCAAAGAAAGCAUGCGAAUGAUGGGGGAAGUAAUAAACAAAAGGAACGAAAAAAAUAUAUUGGCUUUAAAAGCCGAAAUCUAUCAUUUGUAUUUUGGGGGGGGAUUUUUAUGUUUUUUUUUUGGAGAUUUCAAAAGGGAAGAAUCGGUUGUAUUUUGGGGGGGUUUCUCUUUUUUUUUCGGCAUUUUAAUACAAAAAGCAGAGAAAAAUACAAAAAAAGGGGAAACAAGGAACGAAAACAUAAAUCGGAAGGUGAUUUUGUUUUUUCAUUUUUCUCUAUUAUCUUCUUAAAUCCAUUUUUUUCUUUUCUUCCUCAUUUCUAGCAUAUAUAUACACAUAUAAUCGAAAAAUAAAAAAAACAAAAAAUAAAUUUUUUACCUUUUCCGGCCACCGCACGCGGUGGCCGGCGCCGGCGCCGGUGGCCGUCCGGUGACCGGCCCCCCUGGCCGGAUUCCCCUUCCCCCCUCCCUUCUCUCUUCCCUCUCUCUUUUUUUUUUUUUCUUUCCC
RNAcentral lists this long non-coding RNA (821 nucleotides) under Gossypium barbadense (sea-island cotton). RNAcentral's name for it is "long non-coding RNA (GBAR_LNC006161)". The record is from RNAcentral. Lineage: Eukaryota; Viridiplantae; Streptophyta; Magnoliopsida; Malvales; Malvaceae.